GAUUGAACGCUGGCGGCAGGCCUAACACAUGCAAGUCGAACGGUAACAGGAAGCAGCUUGCUGCUUUGCUGACGAGUGGCGGACGGGUGAGUAAUGUCUGGGAAACUGCCUGAUGGAGGGGGAUAACUACUGGAAACGGUAGCUAAUACCGCAUAACGUCGCAAGACCAAAGAGGGGGACCUUCGGGCCUCUUGCCAUCGGAUGUGCCCAGAUGGGAUUAGCUAGUAGGUGGGGUAACGGCUCACCUAGGCGACGAUCCCUAGCUGGUCUGAGAGGAUGACCAGCCACACUGGAACUGAGACACGGUCCAGACUCCUACGGGAGGCAGCAGUGGGGAAUAUUGCACAAUGGGCGCAAGCCUGAUGCAGCCAUGCCGCGUGUAUGAAGAAGGCCUUCGGGUUGUAAAGUACUUUCAGCGGGGAGGAAGGUGUUGAGGUUAAUAACCUCAGCAAUUGACGUUACCCGCAGAAGAAGCACCGGCUAACUCCGUGCCAGCAGCCGCGGUAAUACGGAGGGUGCAAGCGUUAAUCGGAAUUACUGGGCGUAAAGCGCACGCAGGCGGUCUGUCAAGUCGGAUGUGAAAUCCCCGGGCUCAACCUGGGAACUGCAUUCGAAACUGGCAGGCUAGAGUCUUGUAGAGGGGGGUAGAAUUCCAGGUGUAGCGGUGAAAUGCGUAGAGAUCUGGAGGAAUACCGGUGGCGAAGGCGGCCCCCUGGACAAAGACUGACGCUCAGGUGCGAAAGCGUGGGGAGCAAACAGGAUUAGAUACCCCUGGUAGUCCACGCCGUAAACGAUGUCGACUUGGAGGUUGUGCCCUUUGAGGCGUGGCUUCCGGAGCUAACGCGUUAAGUCGACCGCCUGGGGAGUACGGCCGCAAGGUUAAAACUCAAAUGAAUUGACGGGGGCCCGCACAAGCGGUGGAGCAUGUGGUUUAAUUCGAUGCAACGCGAAGAACCUUACCUACUCUUGACAUCCAGAGAACUUAGCAGAGAUGCUUUGGUGCCUUCGGGAACUCUGAGACAGGUGCUGCAUGGCUGUCGUCAGCUCGUGUUGUGAAAUGUUGGGUUAAGUCCCGCAACGAGCGCAACCCUUAUCCUUUGUUGCCAGCGGUUAGGCCGGGAACUCAAAGGAGACUGCCAGUGAUAAACUGGAGGAAGGUGGGGAUGACGUCAAGUCAUCAUGGCCCUUACGAGUAGGGCUACACACGUGCUACAAUGGCGCAUACAAAGAGAAGCGACCUCGCGAGAGCAAGCGGACCUCAUAAAGUGCGUCGUAGUCCGGAUUGGAGUCUGCAACUCGACUCCAUGAAGUCGGAAUCGCUAGUAAUCGUGGAUCAGAAUGCCACGGUGAAUACGUUCCCGGGCCUUGUACUCACCGC
Molecule: ribosomal RNA, 1378 nt
Filed under: uncultured bacterium
Lineage: Bacteria
Description: bacterial SSU rRNA
Rfam family: Bacterial small subunit ribosomal RNA
Source: RNAcentral